UGCCCUAUCGUCUAAUUGGCAGGACAGCACAUUUUGGUUGUGCUUGUCUAGGUUCGAGUCCUAGUAGGGCAACAA
RNAcentral lists this transfer RNA (75 nucleotides) under Flavobacteriaceae bacterium. RNAcentral's name for it is "tRNA-Gln". It matches the Rfam family "tRNA". Rfam says of the family: Transfer RNA (tRNA) molecules are approximately 80 nucleotides in length. Their secondary structure includes four short double-helical elements and three loops (D, anti-codon, and T loops). RNAcentral also lists the same sequence under 1 other name. The record is from RNAcentral. Lineage: Bacteria; Pseudomonadati; Bacteroidota; Flavobacteriia; Flavobacteriales; Flavobacteriaceae.